UAUCACGACAACUGUCCAGUAAGCCCUGAG
This 30-nucleotide non-coding RNA is filed under the name Rattus norvegicus (Norway rat). Lineage: Eukaryota; Metazoa; Chordata; Mammalia; Rodentia; Muridae. The record is from RNAcentral.